UAGGGAAUCUUCCGCAAUGGGCGAAAGCCUGACGGAGCAACGCCGCGUGAGUGAUGAAGGUAUUCGGAUCGUAAAACUCUGUUAUUAGGGAAGAAUAAAUGUGUAAGUAACUAUGCACGUCUUGACGGUACCUAAUCAGAAAGCCACGGCUAACUACGUGCCAGCAGCCGCGGUAAUACGUAGGUGGCAAGCGUUAUCCGGAAUUAUUGGGCGUAAAGCGCGCGUAGGCGGUUUUUUAAGUCUGAUGUGAAAGCCCACGGCUCAACCGUGGAGGGUCAUUGGAAACUGGAAAACUUGAGUGCAGAAGAGGAAAGUGGAAUUCCAUGUGUAGCGGUGAAAUGCGCAGAGAUAUGGAGGAACACCAGUGGCGAAGGCGACUUUCUGGUCUGUAACUGACGCUGAUGUGCGAAAGCGUGGGGAGCGAACAGG
Molecule: ribosomal RNA, 429 nt
Filed under: Bacteroidota bacterium
Lineage: Bacteria; Pseudomonadati; Bacteroidota
Description: Bacteroidetes bacterium partial 16S ribosomal RNA
Rfam family: Bacterial small subunit ribosomal RNA
Source: RNAcentral